AGGAUGUUUACCUGUCCAUGGCCAGAUGUUCUGGACAGCAGAAAGCCACAUUGGGAUAAAGACUGAGGAAGAAAGAACAGGAUCAGAAAACACUGCCAGGAGAACAGACAGAUAACAGGUGCAGGAUCACAGCCAGCAGCUUGCUGAUGUCCCAGUGCUCAGAAUCUGAGAACAUGAGGAUCUUCAUCGCCGAGCGGAUGUGGGCAUAAUCCUUCGUGUCGUUCCGGCCAUCACAGGACAUGCAGUUACCCUGCAAGACACCACACCCACAGGAACGGAUGAUUUAAAACACUGGAUGAUGCCAUUCAAGUGGGUUCUGGACAUCACCGAGUUUAGCAUUGUUCAAAGCGUGGUUCUAUCGAGUCAUCACAGCCACAUCAGAUCGUUACAGUGUAGCCCACCUUGCCUUCAUCAUCCUCCAGCAAGAUCCGUCCUGAGUCAGAGUCCUUCACAACUGCCCCAAUAGGGACAUUGAAUUCACUGUUUGGGUGAGCG
Chroicocephalus ridibundus (black-headed gull) is the source of this 495-nucleotide long non-coding RNA. RefSeq lists it as uncharacterized. The transcript has 4 exons. The record is from RefSeq and is a predicted model, not a curated record. NCBI's taxonomy places the organism in Eukaryota, Metazoa, Chordata, Aves, Charadriiformes, Laridae.